Molecule: ribosomal RNA, 769 nt
Filed under: uncultured Streptococcus sp.
Lineage: Bacteria; Bacillati; Bacillota; Bacilli; Lactobacillales; Streptococcaceae
Description: bacterial SSU rRNA
Rfam family: Bacterial small subunit ribosomal RNA
Source: RNAcentral
GACGAACGCCGCGGCGUGCUAAUACAUGCAAGUAGAACGCACAGGAUGCACCGUAGUUUACUACACCGUAUUCUCGAGUUGCGAACGGGUGAGUAACGCGUAGGUAACCUGCCUGGCAGCGGGGGAUAACUAUUGGAAACGAUAGCUAAUACCGCAUAAGAACAUUUAAUGCAUGGUAGAUGUUUAAAAGGUGCAAAUGCAUCACUACCAGAUGGACCUGCGUUGUAUAGCUAGUUGGUGAGGUAACGGCUCACCAAGGCAACGAUACAUAGCCGACCUGAGAGGGUGAUCGGCCACACUGGGACUGAGACACGGCCCAGACUCCUACGGGAGGCAGCAGUAGGGAAUCUUCGGCAAUGGGGGGAACCCUGACCGAGCAACGCCGCGUGAGUGAAGAAGGUUUUCGGAUCGUAAAGCUCUGUUGUUAAGGAAGAACGUGUGUGAGAGUGGAAAGUUCACACAGUGACGGUACUUAACCAGAAAGGGACGGCUAACUACGUGCCAGCAGCCGCGGUAAUACGUAGGUCCCGAGCGUUGUCCGGAUUUAUUGGGCGUAAAGCGAGCGCAGGCGGUUAGAUAAGUCUGAAGUGAAAGGCAGUGGCUCAACCAUUGUAGGCUUUGGAAACUGUUUAACUUGAGUGCAGAAGGGGAGAGUGGAAUUCCAUGUGUAGCGGUGAAAUGCGUAGAUAUAUGGAGGAACACCGGUGGCGAAAGCGGCUCUCUGGUCUGUAACUGACGCUGAGGCUCGAAAGCGUGGGGAGCGAACAGG